Molecule: ribosomal RNA, 253 nt
Filed under: uncultured bacterium
Lineage: Bacteria
Description: partial 16S ribosomal RNA
Rfam family: Bacterial small subunit ribosomal RNA
Source: RNAcentral
UACGUAGGGUGCGAGCGUUGUCCGGAAUUAUUGGGCGUAAAGGGCUCGUAGGCGGUUUGUCGCGUCGGGAGUGAAAACCUAUGGCUUAACUGUGGGCUUGCUUUCGAUACGGGCAGACUAGAGGUAUGCAGGGGAGAACGGAAUUCCUGGUGUAGCGGUGAAAUGCGCAGAUAUCAGGAGGAACACCGGUGGCGAAGGCGGUUCUCUGGGCAUGACCUGACGCUGAGGAGCGAAAGUGUGGGGAGCGAACAGG